UAUAAUCAGGAGACAGAAGGCAAGAUGAGUUCACUUGCUCUUCUGCUCUAACAUAAAACUUGUAAAGUGAGUCAAAAUGUCCUGUGUCCCACAGACCUGUGACUCCUCAAGAAAGCAGCCCCAAUUGUUCAAUCUCCUACAAUGCUAUAAUUGACCUCAAAGUCCAGGUCCUGUAUUUAUACACAGCAUUUGAUUCUAAAGUAGAAUUAUUACACUAGGUGGAAUUCAGUAAUACUGGGCCACACUUUAUCACACAUUAAACACAUGAAGAUUCACUCAUUUCAAGUGAAAGGAUUUUUUUUCAUUUUUCUAUAUCUCUAAGUGCAAAUGAUUCAAAUGUUUCUGCAACCCAUUUAAUGCUGUGGGGAAAAUAAAAAUAACAUACUAACAUAAUAACAUAACUAAAGCUAUGAUGAAGCUUAGCCCACAUUUUAUAAAGUAACAGUAGGAGCUUUCAGAGCUGAAUUUUUAAUUGGCAAGGCAUUAGUAAAUAGAAGCCAUGCUCCACUUCUUAUCCAUCAAUGGGCUGUAACCCUCCAUUCUAGUAUUCAGAAUAGGUGCAAGAGCCUUAACUUUGAAAAUAUUUACUAACAAGCAACACCUUCUAACUUGUCACCCUUCUGCAGAUGAACAUUUUGAGAGGAUAUUUGGCAUUAUUCAGACAAAAGGCCUGAAGAUGCAGAAGGAGGCAGGAUGGAAAGGAAAUUGCCAAAAGAGAGUGUCAGGUAUACAUGGCUCAGGAAGGACUCAGAGAUGCCUGGACACCCAAGAGAAAGCAAGUGUGUCUCAGAGAAACAGUAAGAUGACAACAGGACCCAAGAGGAGUCAUGAGAGGGCCAGAAAACCAAGAUUGCAAAAAAGAAAGCGUAUCCUAAUAUUUGAAGAAAGCAGUGAUGAUGAUGAAAAUAACUAACCUG
Peromyscus eremicus (cactus mouse) is the source of this 917-nucleotide long non-coding RNA. RefSeq lists it as uncharacterized. The record is from RefSeq and is a predicted model, not a curated record. The transcript has 3 exons. Lineage: Eukaryota; Metazoa; Chordata; Mammalia; Rodentia; Cricetidae.